CAGAGCCGCGGUAAUACGUAGGUGGCAAGCGUUGUCCGGAAUUAUUGGGCGUAAAGGGCUCGCAGGCGGUUUCUUAAGUCUGAUGUGAAAGCCCCCGGCUCAACCGGGGAGGGUCAUUGGAAACUGGGAAACUUGAGUGCAGAAGAAGAGAGUGGAAUUCCACGUGUAGCGGUGAAAUGCGUAGAGAUGUGGAGGAACACCAGUGGCGAAGGCGACUCUCUGGUCUGUAACUGACGCUGAGGAGCGAAAGCGUGGGGAGCGAACAGGAUUAGAUACCCGAGUAGUCCCUGUCUCUUAUACC
Molecule: ribosomal RNA, 301 nt
Filed under: uncultured bacterium
Lineage: Bacteria
Description: partial 16S ribosomal RNA
Rfam family: Bacterial small subunit ribosomal RNA
Source: RNAcentral